UCUCUAGUCCAGCUCUCUGAGAUGGGGUCUGGGACUCCCCUGCUGUGGAUCCUGAUGCUCUGGUCUCCAGGCUGCACUGGGGACAUUUUGCUAACCCAGUCUCCAGCCUCUUUGACCAUGUCUCCAGCCUCUUUGACCAUGUCUCCAGGGCAGAAGGCCACCAUCUCUUGCAAGGCGAGUCAGAAAGUCGGUGACAUUUUGGGCAUUACACACUAUAUUACGUGGUAUCAACAAAAAUCAGGACAGCAUCCGAGAAUGCUGAUUUAUAAAGCAUCCAGUCAAGCUUCUGGGGUCCCGGCCCGGUUCAGUGGCAGUGGGUCUGGGACUGAAUUCAGUCUCAUGAUUGAUCCCGUGGAGGAGGGCAAUGCUGCCUGUUAUUACUGCAAGCAGAGCAAGGAGACACCUCCCACGGUGCUCUGGGUCUAAACAAAAACCUCCCCAGGCGGCUGCUCAAUCAUUUCAAUGAAGAAAAACCAGCCUUCAACUGCCAGAACUGUCAGCUCUCUAUCUUUCAGA
This is a non-coding RNA of Enhydra lutris kenyoni (northern sea otter), 516 nucleotides long. Lineage: Eukaryota; Metazoa; Chordata; Mammalia; Carnivora; Mustelidae. The record is from the annotation of a RefSeq genome assembly.